UUGAUGAAUCAAUUUUAUUUAAGAUUAACUACUUUUAAAUACUCGCAUGUUAUAUGUUUUGACUGAAACACGGUUUAUAUGCAACUUUUUGCAUGGACUGAGACUCACUGUUGUCAACCCGGCAAAAAGAGGGUCACUCGAUUCAAGAUCGGUUAUCGCUACCAUGAACUGGAUACGAGUAGUGCGCGCCUAAUGGAAUAAAUGAUAAGCAAUCUAUACCAUCUAGACCGCGAGAUGGGGAAAAAUACCGAAAUUUACCUUUACCUUUUCAAAAUAUACCAUAAAUUUACCGAAACAGGUUUCAUAUAUAUUGCUAGCAUCAGAGUGUGACCAGGCUACACUGCUCAGUCAUGUUGAUUUGUUUACUUUUGUGAUAUUGAGAGAUAAAUUCUGAAAAAAAUGAACGCAAGCAGUAAAUUACUCCACUCCGGUACGAGGAAUGGCGUCAAGAUGUUUCUUCAGUGUCAGAUCCCAUAUUAUUAUACAGUUCAGAACGAACAAGUUCAAUUAAAGUUUCCCCAACCGAGUUUCCAGUGUGACCCCAUCGCCGAAAUAUGCUAGACCACUUUUCCACGCAUUUGCCCCACUGUACAUACCAUAGCGAUUACGCGCUGGCGUGGAAUCGAACGGCAAUCGCACUUGCGGUACAAACAACGUUGUUCUGGGUUCUGGAUUCUGGAUUUUGGAUUCUGGAUACUCCUUCCCGUUCUACUCGUCGUAUUUGUCCCGAUCUUGGGACUGGUGUUGUAUAUGUUUACAAAUCGUGAUUCAAGUAGUAGCGUCAAUACGAAAAUGUUUCUCCAAGGCGCAUCCCCCCCCACCACUCAAACAGCCAUUGUGGAGCUGCGCGGCAUUCAACCGAAUUGGGUUGUAUCUGUGUGUUUGUGUGUGUGUAUCUGUGUGAUCAUCGUCAAGGCGGCCAUGAAGAUGGAUUUCUUUCUUUCAGUCUUGAGAGAGGGAGAGAGAGAGAGAGAUCUUUCUUUUGGGCCAGCAACAAAGCCAAAGAAGUUGUUUUGUUGUGGCAAGCAUUGUUGCUGUGAUCAAAGCGGCUUGGCGCGUCUCACAUAUGAGUUUGAUGUUCUUUUCUCCACCGCACUCCACCGCAGAUUGUGGCACAAAGGGGGAGUCAAUAGGUUGUAUACCCUUCGUUUAGAUGCCAUAGAAAUCAUGAGUCUUCGUGGAAGAGGGUAUCAAAGCCUUCGGCACUUAAGAGUCCACCUUCCCUUUCACGUUUUUCUUGUAUUAAAUUGUAAUUACUCAU
RNAcentral lists this small RNA (1261 nucleotides) under Drosophila pseudoobscura pseudoobscura. RNAcentral's name for it is "GA30953". Lineage: Eukaryota; Metazoa; Arthropoda; Insecta; Diptera; Drosophilidae. The record is from RNAcentral.